Long non-coding RNA from Brachypodium distachyon (stiff brome), 2054 nucleotides. RefSeq lists it as uncharacterized. The record is from RefSeq and is a predicted model, not a curated record. The transcript has 2 exons. NCBI's taxonomy places the organism in Eukaryota, Viridiplantae, Streptophyta, Magnoliopsida, Poales, Poaceae.
CAGUUUAAGGAUGAUAGAUAAAAUUGAGAACAGUACAAAGUUGGAUUCAAGAGCCUAUUUUUUUGUAUAGAAGAAGAAGAACCUAUUUCAUACUACAUAGCACGGUACAAAAACGAAUUAAUUCUUCGAAGCUUAAGAUCUGUAUCAAAAGAUCAGAGAGUUACCGGGAUCCCUGCGGUUCUGCACCGCCUCCACAAUCGAUAUGUAAGAGUAUCAGGAGAGGAUUAUUCUGCCGCCAAUAGGGAUACAAAGUAUUACAAAGAGUGGUGAUCUUAUCAGGAAAUCAAUGAAAGGAUGAGACAGGAGAAGUGGGAUUCAGUCGAAGGGCCAUGACUAUUUCACACGGUUCAAUCGGACGACGCCUAGUAGCAUGCAACUGCCAUACUCUCCUGGACACGGAGGCCGAUCACUAUACGGAGGAGUCCACGGUCCCAAAUUAACCAACCAAACGAAAGGCCGAUAUCUAUGGGUGGACCGUGGACGAAGGGAACCGAGAGCCGGCCGAAUCCCCGAACCUCUCUGCAGCUGCUUUGGGUCCAGGCCUCCAGGGCUCCAGGCCUCCAGGGAGAAGAACUCUUUGCUUCCGUCCUCGCGCCGCGUGCGUGCGAAGCGCCACCUCAAGAACCGCAGCCGUGGUGAUGAUACCUGCCGCAUAUGUGUUGCACAGGAAAAGCAGGAUAACAGUACUGAAAAUCUGAAAUAUGGUGUAGAAAGAAAUGCAACUCUGAACGAAUACAGCGAUGUUUGCUCUACACUAUCAGGUUAACUUGCAGACGACACGAUGAUCCUCAAGCACAACAUUAGGUGGGAUACUGGGAUUUAUGGCGAUUGCCUUCGUGAUCUAAUUUCUCUUUGACUGAAUCAACCUGGUUUCCAGCAAGACGCUUAGGCGAUGGCCGAACUCACUCCUGUCGGCUACGUAUAUAACAGGCACCCAGUUCAGUUCACCCAAUCGAUCAAUCAUUCAAGUUUAUUCCUCUUGUUGCUAAGUGCUGCUGCUGACUCAUGUCCAAGUUCAGACUAAUAAAGUCAUGUUUUAUCAACUGUCAGAACAGUCAGGUUAACUUACAGGCAAGAUAAUGCUUGUCAAGCCAUGUCCAAUCCGAGAGGCUGAAAGUUCCACAGACCCAUGAUGAAGCACAGAAGCAGGUGGAGAUGUGGAAUUCAAAGCCAGCGCCCCUACAUGAUCUCACAUGGCGAUGGCCGAACUCCCUGUCGGGUUGGCAUUCACGAGCUCUUAACUGCUCCCUCCGUUCCGUAAACUUGAACUAAAACAACGGCAAGAAUUAUGGGCCGGAGGGAGUAAUUUCCAGCAUGAUGCUGAGACCAUCCUAGUGACCUCUACAAGAUAUCUUUGCCUUCUUAGUAAUUAUGGGCCGGAGGGAGUAAUUUCACAUGGCGAUGGCCCAACUCACUCCUGUCGGCUGUCAGAUUGAGGUCUGUACUCUGUAUAUAGCAGGGACCGAGUUCACUUAACCCAAUCGACCAAGCCUAUUCCUCUCGACGGGCGAUGGCGUCCAUGGUGUUCAUCACCUUGGCCACUGUCCUUGUUCUCACCCAUGGCUAUGAGCACGUCUCAGACCCACCCCUGACGAGCCAGAUGGUACCAAUUAACAUUUUUAGUCUCAGCCAUGGCCCUGAGCAUGUCCCGCUCCCACGACCAGACCCAAAGGAUGUUGAGGCCAGCAUGGCAGUGGCUGGACAUGGUGAUGCAGCCCCCGGCGUCACCGAAGAGAAGGGAUGGUUCGCUGGACGUCAGUUGGCGAAUCCGACCCCUCUUCCUCCUUGCAGUUCAUUCACAAGGCGCUGCUGAAGGCGCCUUGAAAGCCUUUUGACAGUGAGAUGGUAGUUUCAACCGAGAGAGGAUGUCCAUGUCCUCUCCUCUGUCCUCAAGCUGCAAGCUCUCCUCUGUCCUCUUAAGAAAUUAUCAGCCAUCUCUUAUUAUUAACAUUUUUUUGACUGAAUCUCUUAUUAUUAACAUGGUACCUGGUUGUGUUGUCAGCAUGUAUGCCUUGAAAACGUCAAUGAACCUGUGAAAGAGGUGGCUAUAUAUA